AUUGAACGCUGGCGGCAUGCCUUACACAUGCAAGUCGAACGGCAGCACGGGGCAACCUGGUGGCGAGUGGCGAACGGGUGAGUAAUGCAUCGGAACGUGCCAUUGAGUGGGGGAUAACGUAGCGAAAGUUGCGCUAAUACCGCAUAUUCUGUGAGCAGGAAAGCAGGGGACCGCAAGGCCUUGCGCUCUUUGAGCGGCCGAUGUCAGAUUAGCUAGUUGGUGAGGUAACGGCUUACCAAGGCGACGAUCUGUAGCGGGUCUGAGAGGAUGAUCCGCCACACUGGAACUGAGACACGGUCCAGACUCCUACGGGAGGCAGCAGUGGGGAAUUUUGGACAAUGGGCGCAAGCCUGAUCCAGCCAUGCCGCGUGAGUGAAGAAGGCCUUCGGGUUUGG
RNAcentral lists this ribosomal RNA (395 nucleotides) under uncultured bacterium. RNAcentral describes it as "bacterial SSU rRNA". It matches the Rfam family "Bacterial small subunit ribosomal RNA", at positions 30 to 427 of the family's 1533-position model. The record is from RNAcentral.